CCCAUGAUUCCUCCUUCUCCCGUUGUUUUGACAGAGCCAUCGUGGGUCGAAGGUUUUUCUUCCUGCAGGGAAUGUUGUAUUUGUACCGUAUGGUGACCAUGUACAUCACAACUCUUCCUGUUCCCAGCAUGCACAUGCACUGCGCCCCGAAGGUGAGUGCCGCUCAAUCAACACUAACACACACGAAUGAGUGAACUAUCAUGCAGUGUGUGAAUAAACCUCAUGGAAUACUGCUUUAAAGCAUCUUAAUACAAGUUUAGUUCAUUCAAAAUGAAUGCAAUGAACUCAGUUCAGUGUCAGAUUUUAUUACUUCACUGUAAGUCUGCAACAUUAUGGUUAUUUUCAUCAAUAUUGGCUGAUGUUUUGACAUUUUGAGCAUUACAGCCUGGACGUAGUGGUGGAGUAUUUCAUCACCUCACGUCUCUUCUACUGGUACCACACCAUGGCCAACAACCGGACCUUGAGAGGAUCUCCUCACAACUAUCUGAACCGGAUUUGGUGGAACCGCGUGUUUAACUUCCUGGAGAAGAAUGUAAAGACGACGGUUCCCUGCUCGUUCUCGUGGCCGCUGUUGCCUCCAUCUGCCGUCUUCAAGAACCCGUGCAAGAGCUACUCAAUAGUGCAGAGCGCACAAGAUUAAUGACACCACAAACACUACGCCUGCAAAUCAAGAUCCUGUUUACUUGAGCACAGCUUUUUACAUGCUUUGAAGAAUAUGUUUUUGUGCGGUUCCUGAUGAACGUAGACACAUGCUGCCAUGUUCCUUAUAGUAUUGUUUUCACACUGUACUUAAGACAUAAUUCAAAUGUUUAUUCGUAUUUCUCAGUGAAGGAUUUUGAAAUGUGUAUUGUUCACAAUUGUAUAGUUUGUAUUUUAAUUUAUUUGUUCUGUACCUUGUGAAAGAAAUGUAUUUGUUUAAUGAAUGUCAGAAAAUAAAUACUAUUUUAUUCAAUUUUAUACAAAUGUGAUUUUAUGGUUUUGUGCAUAUUGUUGACUGAUAUAAAAACUACAAAAAUGA
This is a long non-coding RNA of Carassius auratus (goldfish), 1018 nucleotides long. RefSeq lists it as uncharacterized. Lineage: Eukaryota; Metazoa; Chordata; Actinopteri; Cypriniformes; Cyprinidae. The transcript is spliced from 2 exons. The record is from RefSeq and is a predicted model, not a curated record.